This 253-nucleotide ribosomal RNA is filed under the name uncultured bacterium. Its description in RNAcentral is "partial 16S ribosomal RNA". It matches the Rfam family "Bacterial small subunit ribosomal RNA", at positions 524 to 776 of the family's 1533-position model. The record is from RNAcentral.
GACGAAGGGGGCUAGCGUUGUUCGGAAUUACUGGGCGUAAAGGGCUCGUAGGCGGCCAACUAAGUCGGAUGUGAAAUCCCCAAGCUUAACUUGGGAACUGCAUCCGAUACUGGAUGGCUUGAAUCCGGGAGAGGGAUGCAGAAUUCCAGGUGUGGCGGUGAAAUGCGUAGAUAUCUGGAGGAAUACCAGUGGCGAAGGCGGGUCUCUGGACAGUUCCUGACGCUGAGGCACGAAGGUCAGGGGAGCAAACGGG